GACGAACGCUGGCGGCGUGCUUAACACAUGCAAGUCGAACGGAAAGGCCCCUCUGGGGGUACUCGAGUGGCGAACGGGUGAGUAACACGUGAGUAACCUGCCCUUGACUUCGGGAUAACUUCAGGAAACUGGGGCUAAUACCGGAUAGGAAUCCUUGCUGCAUGGUGGGGGUUGGAAAGCUUCGGCGGUUUUGGAUGGACUCGCGGCCUAUCAGCUUGUUGGUGGGGUAGUGGCUUACCAAGGCUUUGACGGGUAGCCGGCCUGAGAGGGCGACCGGCCACAUUGGGACUGAGAUACGGCCCAGACUCCUACGGGAGGCAGCAGUGGGGAAGAUUGCACAAGGGGCGGAAGCCUGAUGCAGCAACGCCGCGGGCGGGAGGACGGCCUUCGGGUUGGAAACCGCUUUCAGCAGGGGCGAAGCUUGUGGUGACGGUACCUGCAGAAGAAGCACCGGCUAACUACGUG
Molecule: ribosomal RNA, 465 nt
Filed under: uncultured bacterium
Lineage: Bacteria
Description: partial 16S ribosomal RNA
Rfam family: Bacterial small subunit ribosomal RNA
Source: RNAcentral